AUUGAACGCUGGCGGCGUGCCUAACACAUGCAAGUCGAGCGGUAACAGGUGUAGCAAUACAUGCUGACGAGCGGCGGACGGGUGAGUAAUGCUUUGGAAUCUUCCCAGUAGUGGGGAAUAACCAGUCGAAAGAUUGGCUAAUACCGCAUACGUCUGUAAAGGGAAAGCGGGGGGCUCGUAAGACCUCGCGCUAUUGGAUGAGCCAAAGUCGGAUUAGCUAGUUGGGGGGUAAUGGCCUACCAAGGCGACAAUCCGUAGCUGGUCUGAGAGGACGACCAGCCACACCGGAACUGAGACACGGUCCGGACUCCUACGGGAGGCAGCAGUGGGGAAUAUUGGACAAUGGGGGAAACCCUGAUCCAGCGACGCCGCGUGUGUGAAGAAGGCCUGC
RNAcentral lists this ribosomal RNA (391 nucleotides) under uncultured bacterium. RNAcentral describes it as "bacterial SSU rRNA". It matches the Rfam family "Bacterial small subunit ribosomal RNA", at positions 30 to 419 of the family's 1533-position model. The record is from RNAcentral.